GAUGAACGCUGGCGGCGUGCCUAAUACAUGCAAGUCGAGCGAACAGAUGAGGAGCUUGCUCCUCUGACGUUAGCGGCGGACGGGUGAGUAACACGUGGAUAACCUACCUAUAAGACUGGGAUAACUUCGGGAAACCGGAGCUAAUACCGGAUAAUAUAUUGAACCGCAUGGUUCAAUAGUGAAAGACGGUUUUGCUGUCACUUAUAGAUGGAUCCGCGCCGCAUUAGCUAGUUGGUAAGGUAACGGCUUACCAAGGCAACGAUGCGUAGCCGACCUGAGAGAGUGAUCGGCCACACUGGAACUGAGACACGGUCCAGACUCCUACGGGAGGCAGCAGUAGGGAAUCUUCCGCAAUGGUCGAAAGCCUGACGGAGCAACGCCGCGUGAGUGAUGAAGGUCUUCGGAUCGUAAAACUCUGUUAUUAGGGAAGAACAAAUGUGUAAGUAACUAUGCACGUCUUGACGGUACCUAAUCAGAAAGCCACGGCUAACUACGUG
RNAcentral lists this ribosomal RNA (497 nucleotides) under uncultured bacterium. RNAcentral describes it as "partial 16S ribosomal RNA". It matches the Rfam family "Bacterial small subunit ribosomal RNA", at positions 28 to 507 of the family's 1533-position model. The record is from RNAcentral.